GAUCACCUUGCCCCCCGGCCGCACCAUGUGGCCCCUCUGAUAGAUCUGGGACGCAGAACUCCGGCCGUUGACGUACAUCGUGGUUCGCCCCGUCAGCGACUCCCAGGUCAAACACACGUGGUUCGCCAGCGGUCCAAGCUCCGGAACCUCAAAGAAAGCCCCCGGUCCGCUCAGGUAGAGGGACAGCCUGGAAAAACCAACAAACACACGCUGUGAAAACAGAUGUGGACGAGUAUCAUCUCAGAAGAUCAUGUGUGUUCUCAAAGGGUGAAGGGAGACCCCAGAGAGCAAGGGAACAUUUGGAAUCCAGCAGCUCACCUGCCGUCUGUCUCGCGCCACACGUUGAGUUCGUCGAAAUACUGCGUGCGGUAGGCGAAGAGGAUGACCUCACGCUUCCCUUUGAGCUCCGUGGCGAACCUCAGGCAGAGCGUGAAGGCGUCCAGGCUGAGUGGCUUUGCGGGAGUCAGCUCCACGAGGCUGCUGGCGGUCUCCUCAGGAAACACCAGCGAGCGGCCUGCAGAUCAGCGAGGAGCAGCCGGUUAACAGGACCUUGUCUAACCUCAUCACCUUUAAUGUUGCUCCACCAUUUCCUGCAGAAAAUGUGCCAGUUCACCUCCACGGCAAGUCCCAACCAGACCCUCCGACACCCCAAGGUCGCGUCAGCGGCAGAGGGAGGGCGACCUUUUGGAUUACCUGGAGAGGUCCGAUGCUGCUGCGGCGGUUGCUUCUGAGAGAUUGAUGAUGGCGAAGAGGGAGGAUCAGAGCAAGCUCCUGUAGUUGUUAAGCAAGAUAGUGGAAAAGAUGUGAGGCGGGACCAACAAGACUUCUUUCUAUUUUAUUUUUUUAACUAUUUUAUUUGCAUGCAAUCUUUUAUUGACUUCGAACUCUAUAUUUUAGGUUAAAUUAACAUUUUGUUUCACUUUUAAUUGUACUGCACUCAAUCUUUUAUUGAAUUUUACUAUUUAAACUUUAUAUUUUAAAUUAAAUUAACCUUGUUAAUUUUCCUAGUUUGCUGUGUUUUGCUAGCCUGGCCAGACCAAACUCAAUCGUAGAUUGCAUGUUGGUCUGGGGAAGCUGCUGUCAUUUUUUUCAGCACAAGAGGCGGGAUCAACGGGCCUAGUUCAAAUGACUCUGUACGCAAUUGGCUGCUUGCCGUCGCUUCCCUGUCGUCAUUGUGUUAAACAAGCCAAUAGCGCGCCAGAGGAAAAAGCCAGCUUGGUGAUCGGCUCCUGCAAAAACGUAUCAGAAGCAAAAAGAAAUGUUUUGCUCCAGGGCGAAUUCAACUGGGGGCAGAACGGACUGGGGGCACCCAGUUUAGUGUUUUGCAUUUUUAUGGUGUCUCUUAAAAAGUCUGCUUGAAUGUCUCCCAAGCUUGUUCAGUUACAAUGGCACCUCACUGCAAAUGAGUUGUGGCCAAAGAUUUCUGUAAUUAGUUAAUUUACUGCUUCUUGCAUCAACAUUUGCAGAGCGAAUUACACAAAAACCGGACAGGUGUGUGGCAUUCUGUGUUGCUAAGCAAGUGAGGUAAUUGGAGGUUCAGUGUUUAACUUGUUAUAUUAUCACUAGGCUGUCCUACCCACCACUGAAUACAAAGUGUUAAGCUUUCAGACAGAUUCACUUAAAAUCUUUCUGGUUCUACAAUGUCAUUACUGUACUGUAAUACCCAAGCCUUUUCAUUUCCACCCAUUUAAUAAACUGGAUUAUAACAAAAGACACAUUUUAUGGUCUAACACUUUUAUUACAAAAUGCAGGAAUAAUGGAAGCAAUAUACAUCAUACAAGUAAAAUUCAGAAAAUGGGAAGUAGAUAGAAGCAUCUCUCAUUUAACGUAAUUAAAAAAUUGCCGGUACACCACUACUCGUUACCAGCUCCCUCUCUUGGACACCCUUCUGGGUGUUCAUCACAACCUAUCGUGGCACC
Molecule: long non-coding RNA, 1919 nt
Organism: Gadus chalcogrammus (walleye pollock)
Lineage: Eukaryota; Metazoa; Chordata; Actinopteri; Gadiformes; Gadidae
Exons: 3
Source: RefSeq, a predicted model, not a curated record